AGUGAACGCUGGCGGUAGGCCUAACACAUGCAAGUCGAACGGCAGCACAGUAAGAGCUUGCUCUUACGGGUGGCGAGUGGCGGACGGGUGAGGAAUACAUCGGAAUCUACUUUUUCGUGGGGGAUAACGUAGGGAAACUUACGCUAAUACCGCAUACGACCUACGGGUGAAAUCAGGGGAGCUUCGGACCUUUCGCGAUUGAAUGAGCCGAUGUCGGAUUAGCUAGUUGGCGGGGUAAAGGCCCACCAAGGCGACGAUCCGUAGCUGGUCUGAGAGGAUGAUCAGCCACACUGGAACUGAGACACGGUCCAGACUCCUACGGGAGGCAGCAGUGGGGAAUAUUCGACAAUGGGCGCAAGCCUGAUCCAGCCAUACCGCGUGGGUGAAGAAGGCCUUCGGGUUGUAAAGCCCUGUUGUUGGGAAAGAAAAGCAGCAGGUUAAUACCCCGCUGUUCUGACGGUACCCAAAGAAUAAGCCCCGGCUAACUUCGUG
This 492-nucleotide ribosomal RNA is filed under the name uncultured bacterium. RNAcentral's name for it is "partial 16S ribosomal RNA". It matches the Rfam family "Bacterial small subunit ribosomal RNA", at positions 29 to 507 of the family's 1533-position model. The record is from RNAcentral.